Prunus dulcis (almond) is the source of this 831-nucleotide long non-coding RNA. RefSeq lists it as uncharacterized. Lineage: Eukaryota; Viridiplantae; Streptophyta; Magnoliopsida; Rosales; Rosaceae. The record is from RefSeq and is a predicted model, not a curated record. The transcript is spliced from 3 exons.
AGCCACUCUCCCGUCGCCGUCCAAAGAACCACCCAGCCAUCUCCCAAAACCCACCAACCCAGCCACCUCCCAAAAAAAUCCAGUGCCAAUUCAGAUGAUGAAGACAAAUUGGAGGGGAAAAUUUGUAGACACAUGUCCGCCACCUUCUCCUCCCUUCCUUCACCAUGAAUAUCCAAAAACCAAAAAUAAAAAACCCAGAAAAAAAGAGCUUCAUCCAUUGUUUAUAUGUGCUUCCUCAAAUAGUCUGUAAUGGACUCUACAAGCUGUUUCUCUUACAAGUUUAAAAGCUUCUUCAACCUCUAAAGCCAAUUUGAGCACGCGCGAAUCUCACUCUGCAACUCAAAAAAGCUUCUUCAACCUCUAAACCAAAGCCUCGACCUCCAAAGCCUAGUAACGAUGUCGACCGCCAAAGCGAGUAUCAAGAAGCGCAGGACCGAGCCCCAGCUCGCCAAAUCGGACCACCUCGAUCUCGAUUUCUACCUCUCCAAUCAUAUAAAAGGAAUCAUGUCGGCACUGCACCAGAUUUGAGAGAAGGCUCACAAGGGCGGACUUAAGAAGAACAAAGAGACCAUUUCAAGGUGAGCCUCGGUCUGAUCUAGUUUGAUUAUGGCGGAAAUUCGAAUAUCGUUGAGCUGUUUCUUUGCGAUUCGGUGAUUAAUUUGAGCUUCAGCCGGUUAGGUCGUCGUCGACAUCUCCAAUCUCAUCAUCGAAACGUGGGGGUCUAGAUCUAUUGGCUCCAUGUUGUGUCGCAAAUCCCACAUAGAGACGGAGAGAGACGGAGACAUUCAAAUUGAGAGAGAGAGAGGAGGUGACUAGGGUUCUGGUAUUCCA